Molecule: RNA transcript, 1937 nt
Organism: Anastrepha ludens (Mexican fruit fly)
Lineage: Eukaryota; Metazoa; Arthropoda; Insecta; Diptera; Tephritidae
Gene name: regucalcin-like
Exons: 4
Source: RefSeq, a predicted model, not a curated record
UUUCAGCGCCUCUUCUGUUGUUUAAUUAUUUUGUGAACCCUAAAAAGUACUAAAUAAGUGCAGAGGAGGCACGGUUAUUGUUCGAUACUCCUCAAUAGUACAGCAAAAUGCAAAGUCCUAAUACAAAAACAAACAAAAAAAAGGAGGUCAGUUUCGCAAUACGAGCAACGAAUGCACCGAGCUUAAAGAAAACACCAUCCAUCGACUUAAUAAGUCGAUAUAAGCAAAUAGUGACAGCCACAGCGAAAGCAAAGCCAGUAACUACACAAUCAGCAAUACUGGACACAGGUCCAAGCACAAGUAGAGAUGCACUAGCCCGGAAGUCAACUACGAUUCAACCCCCAGAAAUGGUCCCGAUUGGAAGCACAGCUACUGCUAGCUCGGGUACCGAGGGAUGGCCGCUUGAGUGGGUGGUAGACUCAGCGAAUGCGAGCUACCAGGAUCACAGAAACACCACAAGGCACCUAAGGAGGGUGUACGAAAGAGCUAUUGAAAGAGUGAAAGAGUCUCUCUUUAAUUAUAACAUUCCUGAUUUCAACCUCAACUUUAAACCAGCACAACCUGUUUCAAAACGACAACGGCCUUUGGAAGAAAAUAAGCCAAACGUAAAAAGGCACAAAACAAUUGGCGUGACGCCCAGAAAAUCAUUUGCGGAGAUUGCAAAAGACUUCAUUAUUAUAGGAGUUCUGGACGAAAAUCAUCCUCUAGGUAUGAUCUCCAAGGCCCAAUGGAAACGGGUUGUGGCCGAGCUCACGAAAGUGGCACUGAAAGUUAUUCUGCAUAACCCCGGCCCCCCGCCUUCGUGCGAAGAUUUAGGCUGGCACCAAGGCCAGAUAAAAAUAAUAGCGUGUGACGAUGAGAGAUCGGUUCAGCUGUACAAAAAGGCCAUCUCAAAAGUCGGCGAAGUGUACAAGAAUGCCAAGCUGGUGGUCGUGGACAGGAAGGAUAUUCCGUCCAGGCCGCGAGCAAGGGUCUGGUUGCCUUCAACUGUCGAAGACCCGGUAGAGAUAAUGGAGCUUAUUCGGGUCUGCAAUCCGGACAUCCCAACGCAGGAGUGGAUAUACGUAAAAACAUUAAGUAACAAGAACAGCGCGGGAGAAUCGAAAGAAGAGAAUCGCGCCGCUAUGCAGACUCACCUGCUUCUGACUGAAAACUCAAUUGCACCGUUAGCGAAAUGCGAUUGGCAAUUGAGAUACGGUUUUGUAAGAGUACAGCUUCACAUCUGCAAAACUGAUAUAGAGUUCCUCACCACUAAGGAAAGUUCAGAGCCCAUGAGCGAAUUAGAACCCAUGAGCGAAACUGAGCCGAUGAGCGAAGACGAUCAUCCCACCGAAGAAGAAUACGCCUCUUCAGGCUCAGAAAUGGGCGGUUGGAGGGGAGAGUAAGUAUUCCGUACAACAGCGUAAGUAUUCCGAAAGGGAACUUUUAAAGAAGACCCAGACAUAACGUUAACAGCUGAUGCAUCUUCUUCAGAUAAACUUAGACCAUUGUAAGGAAGCAUGCCUUGCCCUCCUGGAUUGUCUGGCAGAAGAUCGGCCGGAUGUAGUCCUCAUCCAGGAGCCCUGGGUACGGAAUGGCGAAAUCUGCGUCUUGAGGACAUCAGGUUGCAAGGUAUAUAAGAACAAUUGUGAAGUAACACAGAUACUACGACGGUUAGCUGGGAAGUGACCGGAAGCAACACCUGGCUAACCUCGUUUUACUAUGCUGGAUACGACACCGGUCCACUGCCGUCGCCGCUAAUAAGAAAUCUUGUGGAAGACUGCAAACACACAAUCAUGAAUUAGUUCUAGGAGGUGACGCCAAUGCCCACCAUACCGUAUGAGGAAGCUCGGAUACCAGCGAAUGUGAUGUCGUUCAAAAUCGAGCCAUUGCCCAACUCUCACGCCCACCCCGGUGAAGGUCCUCACUGGGACGUCGAGUCACAGAAUCUCUACUAC